This 1072-nucleotide unclassified non-coding RNA is filed under the name Hevea brasiliensis (rubber tree). The record is from RNAcentral. Lineage: Eukaryota; Viridiplantae; Streptophyta; Magnoliopsida; Malpighiales; Euphorbiaceae.
UUUGAGACACUUACAAGACGAGUAAAUACACAAAAAUACCUGAGACAAAUAUCACAUAACCUCACACAUAUUUACACCAUCAACCCACCAAUACACAUCCAACGCCUGUAAACAUCAGUAAAUCCAUUGACCCCUGUCAUUAUUCACUUCCAUUAUGGUUACCGCCGAGUGAUUAUAUGUUUUCACACGGGCUCGGCGGUUCACACGGGCUCGGUGGCUACCCAAUAUUGACCUCCCUUACCCGCACCCACCCGGAGCAAACCCUAUCUUAGACUUUGCCACAUCAUAUACAACCCUAAACGACUGCUGCUGCCGGUUUCCGAUGAUCGCCGCACUUCCAGAAGAAGCGAAAGCCAAACAAGUAGUACCCCCAUCAACGUCAAUGAACACAUUCUUCGUCUGCAGCUUCAUCACAGCACCACCAUCAAACACCAAGGCAACCUCAGGCACAACCAAACUCUUCACACUCCCUUUGAAGCAUGUAUCUAGUAUCGAGUACGCAUCUGUCUUCUUAAUCUUCACCGCCGUUGUUAUGGCUUUGCUGAGAGCCGUAUAAACGUCGGCUGGUAACCGUGUAAUUACGGUGCCUGAGUCAAUUAUGGUCGGCGUGCCGGUGUAAGCUGAUGGUGCGACUAGGAGGGAUUUACCGGCGAUGGUGAUGGCUGUGAGGCGGAGGAAGUAGAGGGUUGUAUCGAGCGAGCUGGAGACCAUUGGGGUGUAGGUGAGCUUGGAGGGGUCGUAGGGGCCAAUGGAGAGGUAGCCGGAAGAGGCAGUGGUGGGGAGGCAGUAGGUGAAGGAGGAGCCAAGUUUGGGGGAGAGUUGGGAGAGGAGGGAUAGCUUGUUCCUGGCUAGGCCGACGAGGCCGGCUGCUUUGCCGAAGAGACCCUCGUUGUCCUGACCGCAGCCGUAGAUGAAGCCAGGGAGGACAGGGGCACCGGACGAGCCUUUUCCUGCUAAUGAUCCGAGGGAGAGAGUGUCUUUGCCUAGGUAUCCCACUGAGAAGGAACUAUCACCGUAACUGGCUUCAGUCGGCCACACUUAACCCUUCAGCCUGCACCAGCUCUAAUGUCUG